RNAcentral lists this ribosomal RNA (482 nucleotides) under uncultured bacterium. RNAcentral's name for it is "partial 16S ribosomal RNA". It matches the Rfam family "Bacterial small subunit ribosomal RNA", at positions 30 to 507 of the family's 1533-position model. The record is from RNAcentral.
AUUGAACGCUGGCGGCAUGCUUUACACAUGCAAGUCGAACGGUAACAGGCCGCAUUGUUCUGACGAGUUUCGAACGGGUGAGUAAUGCAUCGGAACGUGCCCAGUCCUGUGGGAUAACUACUCGUUAGAGUAGCUAAUACCGCAUACGAUCUAUGUAUUAAAGCGGUGGACCGUAAUGCCUCGCUCGAUUUUAGCGGCCCAUUUCAGAUUAGUUAGUUGGUUGGGUAAAGGCUCACCAAGCCAACGAUCUGUAGUUGUUCUGAGAGGACGACCAGCCACACUGGGACUGAGACACGGCCCAGACUCCUACGGGAGGCAGCAGUGGGGAAUUUUGGACAAUGGGCGAAAGCCUGAUCCAGCAAUGCCGCGUGAAGGAAGAAGGCCUUCGGGUUGUAAACUGCUUUUGUACGGAACGAAAAGGAUCUGGUUAAUACACGGGGGUAAUGACGGUACCGAAAGAAUAAGCAACGGCUAACUACGUG